UCUAGCUGUAGGUAUCCGUGUUCAUUGCAUUGGACUAGGUGACCUUCAGAGGUCCCUUCUGACUCAAAUGAUACUUUGAUUCUAACUUAAAGUGGGGGAGGAGGGAGAGAAUAAGAGUAGCUCCCCCUUCCCCCCUUCUGUGUGAACCUGAGACUACCAGACUGUCUCUCUUUUGACACAUGACGGUAGUAUAAUUCCCCUGAGUUUUAAGUAAAUUUGCUAUUUAUUUGAAUCCCUCAAGUAGUUGUCAUUACUUCUAGUUACUACACAGGGAAUUAAAAGGAUAACCUCACCCUGGCCCGCAGAGUGGGACAGAACAUAAGGCAGUGCUCUGGAACUUGUGGCUUGGACCACAGUGUAAGUGGCUUGCCUGAGAGAGCACUGUGCAGGUACUUGGUUCAGUCUUUACAGAUGUAUUGUAGAACAGGAAAACAUUCAUGAGCUCUGGAAAGAAAUAUUAAGAUCAUUGUUCUGGAGCAGAGUCUCUAAUGCUGCAAUGUAGCCGUUAAACAUCAUGGGGAGGUCAUUGAGGAGCAUAUGCUGAUUGGAGUCAACAAAAUCACAGGUCUCACAUAUGGUAGAACCAAAUAGAGGCAAAAGCUGCAUGGGAUUGUAUUAUUCAGUGAGCUGACAGUUGGCAAAGUGAUGCCCUAGCAAUUGUGUUAGCACUAUUUUCUUCAUUAAAGAGCUCCAUCUGUUUAUGGACCUUGCAUUAAGGCUGGGGCAGGAGUUGUCUCUUGACUAGUUCCAUGCCUGAAGAUCUUGCUAAAAAGGAUGAAAUGUUGUAAUUUUCUUUUUGCUUGAGGCCAAGAAGUAUUCACUUGACAUAAUUCAUCAGUUCUAAGCCCAUAAUCAAAGCACAUGUGGUAAAACAGUGCUAGUUACAUGGUGUUUCUCACAGAUGCUGUAACAAUUCUUUGAUCUCUUUGAAGGGCCGUGAGGUAUUCCAGUGAGAUAUCAUCCAGACUUGCUCCUUCUCUCCUAAGGAUUUAGGGGUUACAAUCCUUUGGCCUGGAGUGCGAAGUUUUAGCUUCAGGAGCUGCAAGAGGAAGACUGUGUUUCUGGGGAAUAGAGAGUAUCCAGAACCCUCAAGGUUGUUUUAUUGUUCUCCCUUCCCUGUCUGCUGCUUCUGUAUGUAAUUCUAUUCUUUUAUUUUUAUUUUUUGUCACCAAACUUCUGUUGAAUUAAGGUGUGGCUUUAUACCCUUGAUGCCUUCUGCAAGUGUUGUGCUAGAAAUGGCAGUGACCAAUUGCACUGGAGCAUUAGGUGCAGCUGAAAUUUUGAUGAGUACGUCAUCAGCUCAUCUGUAAGCAACAGCAAAGGGUGAAGUUUCUGCACACAGGAACCCGUGGCCCACAGGGACACUGUUCAAGAGCACAGUGGGCUGGGCUGAGCUCAGCUGGACACCAUUCUUUUUUCAGGCAUGGAGAUGGGAGGGGAACUCUUUGCUCGGAGGGAGAGGUUCCUGUAUGACCUUGAAAAGCUGAGCAUGUUGUGCUGCUUCUUUGUUCUUUUAGAAGUAAAGUUCUCAGAAUCUCGAAGGAGUUUGAAGAAAGUGGUACCAGGCAAAGCAGUUUGCUUCUAAGGGUGAUAGGACUUAAGUGGAAAAGAUCAGAAAAGCGAGUUUGUAAGAUUUGGAAUUGGGUAGGGGCUGGUGAAAUUUUGAUGGAGCUGCCAACUUCCAGCAGAUCCCAGAAACUCUGGUUGUAGAAAUAUUGCUGGCUAACUAAUAAAGUUGCUAAAUUAUGGCUUUAAAGGCCCUCAGAUCAUGUUUCUGCUCUACCAGAAAGCAGUGUGGCAUGGGAGCUUAUGGUGCAAGCCAGCUGGAGCCAAAGGAAGGGGAAGAGGUGGUUAAUAGUUCCCACAGUGCAAGAACAAAGGGAUGUUAAAUGAAAUAGAAAAUAAGUACAUUUGAAACCUCAUAUAAUUAUGCCACAUGAUAUUACCGAGGCCAAAAGUUUAGUCAGAUUCCAAGCAGACCUGGACGUUUAUAUAUAUAUAAUGAUAAUAUCCAGAGUAGCAGUAAAUAGGAUUAAAAAUAAAUUAGGGAUAUAAACCUUCAUACUAAUUGAUGAGGUCAGGAAGGAAUUUCCCCUUUGGGUGAAUCAUGUCAUUGUUCACUCUGCAAACUGCUCCACCUUCUGAAGCAUCUGGUCCCGAUCAGGGUAGGCAGAACUCUCAGGCAGAUGGACCAGAAAUCUGACCUGUCGUGGCAGUUUGCAGCGCACCCACCCUGGGCAGGAUUCUCUUGGAAAGGAUUGAGAGGUCUUUUUUUUUUUAAGGGAUUCCUUGGGUCAUCUGUACUGCAGUGUGCAUCUGCUUUCCUUGGUGAAAGGUGACAACUAUUGACCAAAUGUCUUUAUGAAAGUGAGAGCACUGUCUGCUAACACGUCUGCUGCUCUGUGAGCAGCUCAGCUAAUGAGGUGUCAUGAUGAGGAGCUUCUCAGAAACAGAAGUGGAUGAUGAUGAGUGGAGAUGAAGAAAUCAUACAUUUAAGAAGUUGGCUCAAGUUUCCGUUACAGGCAUGGAAAGUUUCUGAGACCAAGCCAUGCGAGAAGAACAUGAGUAAAGAAGAGGGAGAUGUAGACCCAGACUUUCUAGAAGGGAUUGCAGGAUUGAGAGGACGCUGCAGAAACAUCACGUAGUUUGCUUGCUUAUUCAUUCACCUGCACCCCUGGAUUGUAAUACCUUGCUUGCAUAUCUGCUUGGAAGUUGAAAAAUCCCCUCACAUCUGUGUCUUUAAUAUAAUCAUGGCUUCAAGCUUGUUUUAGGAAGAGCAUAACUUAUAUCACCGUGGUUUUAUCUGUGGAUUAGAUGGCUGCCACUUUGUACUUUAAAUCAAUUUCAUUUUUCUGUCAAAACAUAUGUUGAAUAGGGAGAAGAUGAGACACAGCAGUUACAGAACAGGAGAUCGGGGGUCUUGCUUGCAUUUAAUUAACAGCCUUUGCCUUUAAGUGUGACAGGUGCUUAGGUCAAAGCAAAAAAAGACAGUGCUGUCCCUCUGAUUUGAGUAACCUCAUAAUGUAUUGUUGUUAUGCUAUCCAUAGACAGAUGUUGUAAUCAAAUAUUAAUCAGUUCAGUCUAUUUGGAUGUUGCUCCCAAAAACGUUCCAGAUAGAUAAGACAUUUUGUCAGAGCUGUGGGGUGUUCAGUGCAGAUUUCUUACAGCUGAGUUGAGAGACCUGUUUACAGAGGUAGUUACUUGAACAUCUUGGCUGUUACUGGAAGUACCUCCAAGGAAAUACUAGCCGAGCUGUUCGGCACGUUGUUGUAAGACCAAUCCAAUGUUAUUAAGAUUUUAACAUUUAUGUAUUGAAACUUUUAACAUUAAAUGUAACUUUCAGUGUUGAGCAGUGCUGCUGGUAGAGGCAUCCUUGCUUUUAAUGUGAAGUCUUAUCUGGCCUUUUAUCCUUAAUGAGAGGCUACGGUUAUUUUUGCACACUGGCUGAAUAUUUGGCCUUUAAGUGUAUGCAGUUACUUACAAGAGUAAAAGCAGUUGCUAAAGGACUGUUUUUCUAAUGAAAAUAGUUUGAAAUCAUGUAAUUUUAGUUGCUUCAGAAUGGAUGUGAUUAGUGUGUUGGAAACAGUUUCACACUGGAUAUAAAGGGAAUGGUUGAGAAACAGUGGCUGAGAAUGUGUCCAGCUAUUUUUACAGCUAACUGUUGUAUUGUAACACUGGGUUCUUUUUUCAAUCUCUUUCCUUAGUUAUUUCCGUAUAAUUGAACAGCUGAAUUAUACAGAGAUAAAAAAGCUAUUUGCACUUCUUUAUAUUUUAAAAUAGGUAUUAUUGUACUAAUUGAUAAGUAAAUCACAAUGACUGUGAGAAAAUCCUGGCCUAUAUUAUUACUUUGAUAGAAAAUUUAAUAUGGGAUAGUAUUGUCUGUAUAAUAUUAAAAUGUUUUCAUGGAUUUUUAGCUGCUGAAACUGGAAUCAAUAAACUUCAGUGUCUGUUGCUGCAAACAAA
Non-coding RNA from Meleagris gallopavo (turkey), 3963 nucleotides. The record is from RefSeq and is a predicted model, not a curated record. NCBI's taxonomy places the organism in Eukaryota, Metazoa, Chordata, Aves, Galliformes, Phasianidae.